RNAcentral lists this ribosomal RNA (253 nucleotides) under uncultured bacterium. RNAcentral's name for it is "partial 16S ribosomal RNA". It matches the Rfam family "Bacterial small subunit ribosomal RNA", at positions 524 to 776 of the family's 1533-position model. The record is from RNAcentral.
UACGAAGGGGGCUAGCGUUGCUCGGAAUGACUGGGCGUAAAGGGCGCGUAGGCGGUGGACACAGUCAGGCGUGAAAUUCCUGGGCUCAACCUGGGGGCUGCGUUUGAUACGUGUUUGCUAGAGUGGGGAAGAGGGUCGUGGAAUUCCCAGUGUAGAGGUGAAAUUCGUAGGUAUUGGGAAGAACACCGGUGGCGAAGGCGGCGACCUGGUCCUUGACUGACGCUGAGGCGCGAAAGCGUGGGGAGCAAACAGG